This 474-nucleotide ribosomal RNA is filed under the name Pseudopestalotiopsis theae. RNAcentral's name for it is "eukaryotic LSU rRNA". The stretch from base 162 to 315 matches the Rfam family "5.8S ribosomal RNA". Lineage: Eukaryota; Fungi; Ascomycota; Sordariomycetes; Amphisphaeriales; Sporocadaceae. The record is from RNAcentral.
UUAUAGAGUUUUCUAAACUCCCAACCCAUGUGAACUUACCUUUUGUUGCCUCGGCAGAGGUUACCUGGUACCUGGAGACAGGUUACCCUGUAGCAGCUGCCGGUGGACUACUAAACUCUUGUUAUUUUAUGUAAUCUGAGCGUCUUAUUUUAAUAAGUCAAAACUUUCAACAACGGAUCUCUUGGUUCUGGCAUCGAUGAAGAACGCAGCGAAAUGCGAUAAGUAAUGUGAAUUGCAGAAUUCAGUGAAUCAUCGAAUCUUUGAACGCACAUUGCGCCCAUUAGUAUUCUAGUGGGCAUGCCUGUUCGAGCGUCAUUUCAACCCUUAAGCCUAGCUUAGUGUUGGGAAUUUACAGUUAUGUAAUUCCUGAAAUACAACGGCGGAUCUGUGGUAUCCUCUGAGCGUAGUAAAUUAUUUCUCGCUUUUGUCAGGUGCUGCAGCUCCCAGCCGCUAAACCCCCAAUUUUUUGUGGUU